This 510-nucleotide ribosomal RNA is filed under the name uncultured bacterium. RNAcentral describes it as "partial 16S ribosomal RNA". It matches the Rfam family "Bacterial small subunit ribosomal RNA", at positions 28 to 507 of the family's 1533-position model. The record is from RNAcentral.
GACGAACGCUGGCGGCGUGCUUAACACAUGCAAGUCGAACGAAGAGCGAUGGAAGCUUGCUUCUAUCAAUCUUAGUGGCGCACGGGUGAGUAACGCGUAAUCAACCUGCCCUUCAGAGGGGGACAACAGUUGGAAACGACUGCUAAUACCGCAUACGAUCUAAUCUCGGCAUCGAGGAUAGAUGAAAGGUGGCCUCUACAUGUAAGCUAUCACUGAAGGAGGGGAUUGCGUCUGAUUAGCUAGUUGGAGGGGUAACGGCCCACCAAGGCGAUGAUCAGUAGCCGGUCUGAGAGGAAGAACGGCCACAUUGGGACUGAGACACGGCCCAGGCUCCUACGGGAGGCAGCAGUGGGGAAUCUUCCGCAAUGGACGAAAGUCUGACGGAGCAACGCCGCGUGAGUGAUGACGGCCUUCGGGUUGUAAAGCUCUGUUAAUCGGGACGAAAGGCCUUCUUGCGAAUAGUGAGAAGGAUUGACGGUACCGGAAUAGAAAGCCACGGCUAACUACGUG